UGACAUUUAUGUGAGGCCUGACAAAAUCAUUUUAAGUAAGGAAAAAGAAUCUGUAGUACUGACGAUUUUAAGAUGACAGUGGCAGUCACAACGGCAAUACUGUAUUUUACACUUGAUUUAUUGUAUUGUAUUAUUAUAUUGUAUUGUAUUUAUCUGUUUGCAUUUACAGUCAGUUUUUGACGGAGAAAGCAGCUUUACAAAUGACCCUGGUUUGGCAGAAAUAUCUCACACGGUUUCAGCCAUCGGUAGUACGCCUGACGUUUCCACAGAAGUUGUCCCAGACAUCUCCACUUCUGAGGCCCAUUCCCUUUCCAGUCAUACCCCUUCCAUGUCCAGUGGUGAUGAAGUUAUAUGGUGUUUUGAUGCACCUUCUAUCACAUGUCCACUUUUGCUGGUGUCAUAACUAUUGAUGAGACUCUCACCCAAGUCCAGUGGAACUCCUGCCAUCUCCACUGGCAACACUCAUGGGUUGUCGGUUGGCCUCAAUGUCAAUGCUAGCGGCAAAAGGCAUGGCAUCUUUGCGAAUAGGACCUCCGGUGGGUCCCAUGGUCCCACUCAACCCAGUGCAUCGGGCAAUAGUUCAUCCAGCACAUCCUACAGCACAUACCUUGACGUAUUUGAUGAAGAAUACCUAUCUGAUGACCCUGAUCUCCAGGAAGCUAUUUCUAGGUCUUUAGAUUCCAACGCAAGUGAGAGGUCAGUAGAAGAUAUUAUAUAAAAAGUGUUGUAUUCCAGGAUAACAACUGAUUUCCUUGCCUGCCUAGAUACAAGUAGCAAAAAGCAAGCUGCAAACUAUUGUUCUUUCUUUAUCUGUUAUCCAGUCAUUUCUGUGGUCAUUUUGUCAACAAUAUUCAAUAGAUCAUUUUUUUUAAUAUCAUGGUUUAAAAACUUCUCUGAAUGGAGGUUACCCGUGCUAUAACAUGCAUUAUAUUUCAUGUGUAUGUAUGGUCCCCUUUACACCUGGUGUCAAAAGUGUUUUUUUUUUGUGAUCAGGUUGCAAUCAGAUAGCACUUGACCACAUACAUUUACACGUGGUAUUUAUGUACGUCUAUGGUGUCCACAUCUGGCUCCAGUUGCUAUCCAAUCAUGAGCCUUCCCAUUGACAGGCAUUUCCAGCAGCAGACUCUUUAAAUGUUUGUUUGUUUUUUUACAACAUGUUUCUGGGUUUGCAUUUACACUUUGUGUUCAAGUGUCCCUUAUUCCUUUACCUCAUUGCAAACAUUUUUGGAAAAUGGGUUUUUAAUCAAUAUUAAUAACAAUGCAUCUGAGGGUGCCGUGGACAAUGGAGGACCUACUCGGGAGUUUUUCCGACUCUGUCUUCUGGAAAUUAAGGACAAAAUUGGCAUCUUUGAGGGUCCACCUGAUGCUAAAGUCCUCACAUGCAACUUCAAAGGUUCAGAGUUGGCAUAAUGUCUCUAGGUGUCCUAGAUACUAUCCAGAGAUACCCUCAACAGAUGAAGUGCCUUUUUUUGAAGGCUGAAAAGAGCUUAACAGCAGCUGAUGUAGAGAAUCUCUUCCGGAUCAUUCACUCUGAAAGAGGGAGUAAUGCAUUCCAAGAAGAGUGCCGUACCCUGGCUUUUUGGCAAGACUACCUUUAGGAUGCUGAAUGUAAGUUUUAAACUGUUUUGGCUGCAUCAUGAUAGUGCAUGACAUUGGAAAAAAAUAAUUUUAAUUGAGACGCUCCACUAUGUAAGACAGUUUAUGUGAAUUAGAAAUACAUUAUUCCGGGCAGCAGGACUGUUUGUCAGCAGUUUGAAUCCAGCUCAGACCAAAUAUUCAGUAUGGCUAGUAGCUGCAGAGGUGCCAGUUCAUCUUUUGGGUACAGCCAAAGUACCCUUGUUGCUCGGGCACUGAACCCCCAACUGCUCGGGGACCAUCCUUUGCAAGUGGUGCUCACUGCAGAGCCAGUGGACAUGCAGAAAGGUGGAGCUUCACCUACUCCAGCUCUAUUUCUCUGGACCUAUUUAUAGGGUUUUGGUAAGAAUAUUGGGGUAAGCCAAUCAGAGACAGAGUGAGGACAUGCCUUCAGGUCCAGGGAGGUGGAGCUGGACUAGGUCAUUGGCUCUUCAUUUUGGCUACCAUAAUCCAUAAUCAUAUCUGGGUUGUAAUGGCUUCUUGUGCAUCCAGCAAAAUAUGAGCAGAAUUAGCCUGUAUUUAUUAUGGUCCUCAUCAAUUGUAGCCUAUGCCCCGAGGAGGUUCAGCCCAUCUUGAAGAUUUAUUUUAACUCGGACCAAUUCUAUUGGGUGUUAUUUCAGGCUAGUCGGGUGUUUCUGAACCUGCUUAUCCUCUGCCUUUCUUUUAUAAUGGUGUCCUGAUUGUUUAUGCCAUAUUAGGAACUUUAGGUACUUUUCCACAACAUAGCCUAGCCCAAAAAACAGGUGUUCUAAGGGCUCCCAGGGCUACCUAGCCUAGACAUUUCAAAAAUAAAAAACUAAUGUGUUUCAGACAGAAACACCGGAUGCUGGGAUGUAGUUCACUUGAAAAUAAUUUAUUUUAACGCAGUGAAAAUGUUUAAAUUAAUUCUCUCAGGACUGCCUAUCUAUAUUUUUCUACCACUCGUCAAAAAGUCUGUCUUGUCGCUUCCUUCCGUGUCCAACCACACAAUGUCUCAGAACUAGAGCACUUGGUCUCAUCACAGGCGCAGCCGGGUAGCGAAACCGUGCAGUGCAUCCUAUCACAUUACUACAAUAAAGUCUAAAUAAAUACUGCAGCCUGAGAGAAUCAACAACAACACAUCAACCCGAAAUAAUUCUCAAUUAAACUGUUUAGGGGAAUUUAACUACUCACCUCUCUAACAUCACUUUGCAUCGCUUCAGUGGUACAAUACUUUAGGAAAAUAGUCAUAGUCAUCAUUAAUUGUGAUACUUUCUUUUAAUGUCUUACAGGUGAAAACGACGUCUCUCUGGAGGAUAUUCUUGUUUUCCUCACGGGAUGUGACAGUCCAAGCACUGGGCUUCUCAUCAAAGCCAAGCCUUGAGUUCAUCACCCAUUCCCGAUUUCCAUAAGCAAAUACUUGUUGUGCAAAUAUUCUUUGCAUUCCAGUUCAUGCAGAAUACACUGCUUUCAAAUGUGAUAUGACUUUUGCCAUACGCAAUUCACCAGGAUUUGGAAGAGCGUGAGAGGUAAUAUUAUGGAGGGCUGUUGGAGCUCAGUUAUGAUGAGGAAAUUUGUUUAUUUGUUUUUCAAAAAUAAUUGUUGUCAUUUAAUCUUUUUCCUAGAGAAAGUAUUGAAUAAAGGCAUGAAGAAAUAUAAGUAGAAAUGUAAUAUGUUACUUUUGAAGCUAUAUUUCAAGCCAUGGUUUUUGUUUCAAAUUGAAUAUUGUGAACUUUAAGUUGAAAAUGUGUGUCAUUUAUCUCUACCCUUUGAUAUGACCCAAAGCAGCAGUUAAGUGAUUAGCAGAGAUUAUUUCCUCUAAUGGUUAUAGUAAGGCCCUCCUAAUAAAUGGUUCUACUGUAUGUUUCUACUUUGUAUGGACUGGUUCAUUGUCAUUUUAGUGUCUAUGAUGACUAGGAUAUGUGCAUCCAGUACAGAAAAACUGUAAACAAAAUGAAUUUAUAAGUCCAUCUUCACCAAUAGGGUUGAAUUAAAUUUACUUAACUAAAAGAACUGAAUACUUCAUCCACAACUAAAUAUAAUAUACAUGGCGCAUAUCCAUAUGGUGAUAACACCACAUUCUGUUAUUUAAGAAAAGCACAUUAUAGGCAAAUCUUCGGUCCUAGGAACUGAACACACAUUUAUUUAUAUCUGAGUCUAUAUGUGACAAUGUAUGACACCACAAUAAUGUAACAACUUAAUUACUGAAGCUAGUAGACUAUCUCUCAAGCAGGUCACAUGCUCUGACAAAAAGUUCAAUUCCAUGAUUUCCAUCAUCAGUGAAGGGGUUGAUGGGCCUUAACUCUUCAUUCCACUGGUGAUCAUAAGGGGGUUGCACAGGCACACGAUUGAGUGCCCUUUGAUGCUGAGUCCACCAGACCGAGUUGUGUCCUGUGGUUGUACAGUGUUCGUAUGUUUACAGACAGCAUCCGAGAUAUGGCCAUCCAGCUAAAUCCUAAAUCUCGCAUGUGAAUCAGCUGAGCAGCUGGUAUGUUGUACCAAAG
Larimichthys crocea (large yellow croaker) is the source of this 4097-nucleotide long non-coding RNA. RefSeq lists it as uncharacterized. Lineage: Eukaryota; Metazoa; Chordata; Actinopteri; Sciaenidae. The transcript is spliced from 4 exons. The record is from RefSeq and is a predicted model, not a curated record.